AUCCUAGUGGGGUAGUGGUUAACCCACCAGGUUUUCAUACAGAGAUGUUUCCCUGGGUACCCGAGUUCGAAUCUCGGCUAGGAUA
This is a non-coding RNA of Plectosphaerella plurivora, 85 nucleotides long. NCBI's taxonomy places the organism in Eukaryota, Fungi, Ascomycota, Sordariomycetes, Glomerellales, Plectosphaerellaceae. The record is from the annotation of a GenBank genome assembly.